AGCCGGUUCCUUCGCAACGAUAGAUGGUAAACCCCGCCAGGCCCGGAAGGGAGCAACGGUAGCUAUUGACUCGU
Molecule: signal recognition particle RNA, 74 nt
Filed under: Gammaproteobacteria bacterium
Lineage: Bacteria; Pseudomonadati; Pseudomonadota; Gammaproteobacteria
Description: partial signal recognition particle sRNA small type
Rfam family: Bacterial small signal recognition particle RNA
About the family: The signal recognition particle (SRP) is a universally conserved ribonucleoprotein involved in the co-translational targeting of proteins to membranes. Archaeal SRP consists of a 7S RNA and homologues of the eukaryotic SRP19 and SRP54 proteins.
Source: RNAcentral